This 3914-nucleotide long non-coding RNA is filed under the name Homo sapiens (human). RNAcentral's name for it is "novel transcript". The record is from RNAcentral. Lineage: Eukaryota; Metazoa; Chordata; Mammalia; Primates; Hominidae.
ACCUUCCCCUGUCUUCGAUUUAAAAAAAAAUUACUGCAUACAAAGGGUAGGAGCUACAAGGGACAUAGAAUAAUUUGGACUCCACUACUACCUUAAGAGACCUUCCCCUGACUUCUCUUUUAAAAAACCUAUGGGUCUCUGCACCCCUGAACUUACUUUCUACACCUAUUUCUCUCUUCACCCCCAAAAUCCAUAUUAGAAUGCCCCUGCAGGCUAUAAAGCCUUUCAUAAAAGUAAAAUACCCAGUCUUUUCAAGAGAACAAUAAAAUAGGCAGUCUCCUACCUCUUGUCUUACUCUAAUAUAAACUCCAUGAAGAUAAGUAUUGUCUCCAUACUGUUCAUGCUGCACAGCAGUUGCCCUUAUCUGCAGGGCGACGCAUCCCAAGACCCCCAGUGGAUGCUUGAAACUGCAGAGAGUAACACACGUGAUUGCCACCAUCGGAACACAUUUCUGUGCACGUCUUCCACCCACAGAUUUAAUGCCUUUUCCGUCUUAACUAAGCACUCAUCAUGGACUGUGGCCAUAACUUUUGCAGUUUUAGAUGCAACAGCAAAACUAACAUUAAUUUUUCCUUCUUCUUCACAAUUUCAUGGGUAGAUUUGUUCUUACCGUAGAUCUUAGCAACCUCAGCAUAUGAUGUUUUUUCUUUUGAGAACUUUCACCUUUUCCCUUAAAGAAAGCACUUUACAGCUUCUCUUUGACAUAUCUCAACUGCCAUCAUCACUGCUCUUGAACUUUGGGGCCAUUAUUAAGUCAGAAAAGGGUUACUUGAAAACAAGCACUGAGAUACCACCAGAGUCCAUCUGAUAACUAAGAUGGUAACUACAUGACUAACAGGCUGGUGACGUAUACAGCAUGGAUAUGCUGGACAAAAGGGUGAGUCAUGUCCCAGGUAGGAUGAAGCAGGGUGACUUGAGAUUUCACUAUUCAGUGUGGUGCACAAUUUAAAACUUAGGAAUUGUUUAUUUCCUGGAACUUUUUUCAUUUAAUAUUUUUGGACUGCAGUUGACCACAGGUAACUGAAACUGUGGAAAGUGAGGAUCAGAGGAUAAGCAGGGACUGUGGUAUUCAUUUCAUUGCACAGUGCCUAGAAUACAGUAGGUGUACUAUAAAUAUUUUGUAAAGGGACAACUUUGCUGAAACUGAAAAUAUUUAUGUUUUACCCAAUAAUUUUUCUUCUGGAAAUUUAUGCUACGGAAAUAUUCAGAGAUGCUUACAAAGUUUUAUGCAUGAGUGUCCGUGUUAUUUGUAAUUGUGAAAAAUGAAAAUAACUCAAAAGUUUAACAGUGGUCAUCUAAAGUACUGUAUACACUGUAUAUAUAGGUCGAAUAGAAGGUCAUCCUAUUCAUUUAUUAAUGAGAGGUACAAUCUCCAGGGAUCUGUAAAAUCUAUUUUGUCUUAACCAAAGAACAAAUUUUUGACAUAUCUUGAAUAGGAUGACUAUAAAUUAUGACUAUAAAUUAUGACUAUAAAUUAUGACUAUAACUUUUAAAUUGUUAUAAUUUUUGUACUAUUAUCUGAUAUUUUUAUUUUUAUGUAUGUUCCUAAGUAGUUUAGAGAUAGUCACAUUUUAAAAAUCUAAGAUCAAACAAAUGAAGCUUAUUUUUAUGUAUUCAUAGUAUAAAAGACCUUCAGUAAAUAGAUAAUAUUUUUGUUUUAUUCUAGAAAACAGCUCCUUGAACACAGUGAGCUGGCUUUUCACACAUUGCAGUUGUUAGCGUUUACUGCCCUUGCCAUUUUAAUUAUGAGGCUAAAGAUGUUUUUGACGCUGCACAUGUGUGUUAUGGCUUCCUUGAUAUGCUCUCGACAGAUGCUGUCUUCGCAGGUGCCAUGCCUACAAUGGCAAGCGUCAAGCUGUCUACACUUCAUCCCAUUGUGAAUCAUCCACUUUACGAAGAUGCAGACUUGAGGUUGGCAGCUGAUGAGUAUUUCUUCAAGACUCACUUGGCGACUCCCAAUUCUUAGGAAUUGGGAAAAUUUUUACACACACACAGACACACACACACACACACAAACUCAUCCUCAUUUUCGUACUGGAAGUUAAAAAAAAAUGACAAUAACCAUCCAGAAAUGACAAUAUGUACCUGUUGCCUCUGGAGCAAGCAGACCUCUGAAAACUGAAAAAUGCAAAAGCCAGUUUUUUCCAAAGUGACAAAUGUGUCACAUAUUUAUGAUGUGUGCGUGUAUUCCAGUAAAACUACUAGGUAGUUGGAAGAGUAGGUAGGAUGGAUUUUACUCACAGCCAUGGUUUGCCAACCCCUGCUCUACACCACAAGCCCCACUCUGAUUUAAGAAAUGAUUUCUAGAUCUUACUGGUGGCCAAUGACUAGCUUUUUGUGACAGGUAGAAAAAGUACAUGAAAGUUGCUAUUAUAUAGUACGUGCUUUCAUGAAAAUUUAGAGUAUUUUUGCUAGUCGAUUAUGAGAACUCUAGUUUCCAUUGAUGUCUAAAAGUUUUGCUUUCCUUAAAUGGCUGGUUUAAAAAAUUAUUUUGGUUAUUCUAGUAGUUGUCAGGGUAAUCAUUUUUAAAAGUGGAUUUUUGGCCUAUUGUUAGAGGCAAAUGUUUAAAUUAUUUAAAAGUUUUAGGUCUUCUGUCUAGGAGCCAGGGCUUGGAGUCAGACACCUUAGAAGUGUACCUGAUGCUCUCUCUGUUCUACUGUGGUGAACUGGCAUGGAAACCACUGUGGUGACUGAGCAUCCCAUAUGCUUGAAAUUCUAAGCAACAUCCAAUGCAUAAGUGAUAGUUUGUCAGGAUUUUGUAAGAAUUCCCACUACGGUCAAAUCACCUAUUGUACCAUAUUUUGGUGACCAUCCCCAUUUCUCAAGAUUCUGUGAAGGUGCUUUUCCUACCUCUUCUGAUACCGUGGAUGUCCAUUGUCUAAGUGUUCUACUUGAUACACUAAAUUUCAAUUCAUUUAUUUGUCAGAGCUUCUUUAGAUGAAAUUAAGCAUUGAAAGAUGUGUUUUCACUACAUUCAGUCUCUGUCAGAAUAUAUUCUCUGAAAACUGUGUGAAUUAUGAGAAGAAAACUGUAUAUCCUAAGCUGCUCUCUGCUACCCAGUACAACUUUAGACUAUCUUAUACAGUAAUGAGCAGUAUAUGCAAAAUUAAAUUGCUGUAAGUUUUAUUACAUUCAAAAUAUAAGUAGGAAUGUGGAAACUGCCAUCCCCAAAAUAGUUGAUGCUGUUUUGAGUCAUGUAUAUCAGUGUUCCAUCCAGUGAGUAUUGAGAUUUCAAUUUGCUAGUAAGAUUUUUUUAGUCUAUUCUAUUAUCAUUUAUUUUAAAAUCUUUUAAACUAUUGUUUAAAUUUAAAGGGCUCGGACAAAAAUAGUUUAUUCUACAUAUAGUCGAAAAUCUGCCAAAGAAGUAGGAGAGAAAUUGUUGGAGUUACAUGUGAAUUAUUAUGUUUUAGAAGAGGCAUGGUGUGUUGUGAGAACUAAGUGAGUAUUAACCCUAUGCUAUCUGAUAUGGUACAUUUUUGAGCAACAAAUGUUUCACUUUAUUACAGUAGUCCUGAUUCUUUAAGAAUUUUUAUUUUAAAUUUAUUAAAAUAAUAUCCUGGUACCUUAGUUUAAGUUAUUUCAUCUAGGGACGUAAAACUAUACUAUCAAUGAAGUAGAAUUUAAUUCCAAACAUUAUAGUAUAUUUAAUAUCCUGAUUUUUCAAUUUAACAUCUUCCACUUAGCUUUUUUCAUAAUUUUUGAAAUAUUUAUGAAAAUUUUUAUUAGAUAUCUGAAAUAUGGAUUUGAAUUUACAGCAAAGUGAGAUAUUGGCAUUCUGUAUUAUAGCUGAAUUAUAUUGGAUUUAUAAGACUUAAAAGAAAAGUGACAAAACCCAAAAUGACAUAAGGAAAACAUUCCUAAUUAAAAUUUUUUAAUUUCUGAAUUUUGAAUCUCUAAAAAUCAUAAAAUUCUAA